GGCUUCUCAGACCUGAACCUGCCUUGAAUACUCAUGAGGACCCAGGAGCUACUCCUCACCUCCCACUUCUCUUCCCUCCUGUCAGAUAACCAAGGCACAGCCAACUGAUCUCCAACCAUCUGAGGAACCCAACCAUAAGCAGGUGUGGGAACCGCUGAGCAGCACACCCUCCCCCAGCAGGAAAUCUGGGACACGCAGGAGCCUCAGUGAAUCCGACCGUUGUCUCAUCUUACCAGGUCACCCGGCUGGAAAGAGUGGCAGAGCCCCGUCUGGUCAGGAACUGGGUUGGGAUGAGCUCCCCGGACAAGCGGCUGGAUGAUGUCUUGUACCUGUUGGAGAGACUGCAGAUUCUGAGCAGGAUGACAGAUCCCAGGACCAACUCUAAAGUGGGUGGACUCUGGGUCCAGAAGAAGGACUUCCUGGGACCCCAAAAGGAUGAGGGGAUUAUACGGCCUGUGGCUGGGGAGAGACUGACAGAACUCUGGAUCUCAUACACCUCAUAAUUCCCCCAA
Long non-coding RNA from Pan troglodytes (chimpanzee), 512 nucleotides. RefSeq lists it as uncharacterized. The record is from RefSeq and is a predicted model, not a curated record. The transcript has 4 exons. NCBI's taxonomy places the organism in Eukaryota, Metazoa, Chordata, Mammalia, Primates, Hominidae.